This 66-nucleotide transfer RNA is filed under the name Enicospilus sp. MD-2008. RNAcentral's name for it is "tRNA-Ser". The record is from RNAcentral. Lineage: Eukaryota; Metazoa; Arthropoda; Insecta; Hymenoptera; Ichneumonidae.
AGAUAAUGAACUUGAAUAAGUAUAUGUUUUGAAAACAUAAUAUAAAAUUAAAAAUUUUAUUAUCUU